CAAGAGUCGCUUUUAGAAGUGAAAGCGCCAUAUGGACUAUGUGGUUAGCUUAGAGGGAGAGUUUGGUUCAGAAAGACUAUGAUUUAUGAAGAAGGAAAGAAUCGUGACUAUAUGAGGUGUUCACAUGGAAAUGAGGUUAGUUAUUUCUCUUGCCGGUUUGCCUCUGCCCUAUUUACGCAGCUUUCAACGCGCCACCAUGCCGUUUCUUUAAAGAUUAUUCAUUUCAGAAUUUAUUUCAUCAGAAUACAUCCAAUCAAAAACACUAUCGAUCGGUGUUCUUUGCCAAUCACGUGCAAAAUCCAUGUACUAAAACUUUAAAAAUAAAUUUGUUUCAGUAAAAAAAAAAAAAAAUUGUCUUGAAUGAUUUGCACUUAGAGUGAUAAGAAAUGCAUGUGAUUAAUAAUCAAUUUCUACUUACAUUUAAGUAUAAAAAUUAUCACUCUGCAAGGAGUGUUAUCUCUAUGAUGUCAGAUUCGAUCUAUGAAAAAUUUUCCACUUUUAAAAAGGAAUAACCACAAACUCCAAAAAGCAAGAAAUUAGUUUCAUAUCAAAUUUCAAUAUUCAUGGAAAAAAAAAAAUCUAGUUAAGAAAAAAUUUUAUUAACUUGAUGCAUGAAACCACCCAUAUACCCCGAGAGUGGACAAGCGUUAUCCAGCAAAUAUAUAUUUCUAAAUGAAUAUUAGGAGUUAUGGUUUAAUCUACGCCCAAGAAGAAUACCAAUUAGCACAGAUACAGCAUUAAACUAAUAAAACUUGUGACAGUACAUGCCUUCGUUUCAGAACUACAAACUAAGCCCAAACCACCAUUGAGAUUUGAGACAUGUCAACGGCAUCAUUUUGAAGCCCAAUGCAAUAACCUAACAAUUGCAAGAAAUAAAAAUUACAAUUCAUUUCAAAAUUUUUCUAUCUCCUGCAAUGGGUGAUACAAGAGCAUCCUCUAGUGUAAGGAUUAACAGGCUCUCUCGAUCUAAAACAAUUAUGACUAUAGUAAGACCUUCCUGAACGAGGCGGACAAGGCACCCGAUUUGCAGAGAGAGCACCAUAAGAUAUGUGAUAGUGCAUUGGUCUUCCAUACAGAGACCUUCUAUCCGAUCUUCCAUCAUCAUCUUCAUCAUCUUUGUCGUAGAAAUUAGGCAUAGUUGAAGAUGCGCCCCAUUCAAGAGGAUCGGCCAUCAUUAUCUGCUGGAAGCUUUUUUGAUUGAUUUGAUAAGCUUCAAUGAGCAGACACAGAAAAGAAAGAGCAAGAGUCGCUUUUAGAAGUGAAAGCGCCAUAUGGACUAUGUGGUUAGCUUAGAGGGAGAGUUUGGUUCAGAAAGACUAUGAUUUAUGAAGAAGGAAAGAAUCGUGACUAUAUGAGGUGUUCACAUGGAAAUGAGGUUAGUUAUUUCUCUUGCCGGUUUGCCUCUGCCCUAUUUACGCAGCUUUCAACGCGCCACCAUGCCGUUUCUUUAAAGAUUAUUCAUUUCAG
This 1467-nucleotide long non-coding RNA is filed under the name Jatropha curcas. Its description in RNAcentral is "long non-coding RNA (JCUR_LNC000905)". Lineage: Eukaryota; Viridiplantae; Streptophyta; Magnoliopsida; Malpighiales; Euphorbiaceae. The record is from RNAcentral.